CCUACGGGAGGCAGCAGUGAGGAAUAUUGGUCAAUGGACGAGAGUCUGAACCAGCCAAGUAGCGUGAAGGAUGACUGCCCUAUGGGUUGUAAACUUCUUUUAUAUGGGAAUAAAACGUUCCACGUGUGGGAUUUUGUAUGUACCAUAUGAAUAAGGAUCGGCUAACUCCGUGCCAGCAGCCGCGGUAAUACGGAGGAUCCGAGCGUUAUCCGGAUUUAUUGGGUUUAAAGGGAGCGUAGGUGGAUUGUUAAGUCAGUUGUGAAAGUUUGCGGCUCAACCGUAAAAUUGCAGUUGAAACUGGCAGUCUUGAGUACAGUAGAGGUGGGCGGAAUUCGUGGUGUAGCGGUGAAAUGCUUAGAUAUCACGAAGAACUCCGAUUGCGAAGGAAGUUCACUGGACUGCAACUGACACUGAGGCUCGAAAGUGUGGGUAUCAAACAGGAUUAGAUACCCUAGUAGUC
RNAcentral lists this ribosomal RNA (460 nucleotides) under uncultured bacterium. RNAcentral's name for it is "partial 16S ribosomal RNA". It matches the Rfam family "Bacterial small subunit ribosomal RNA", at positions 338 to 795 of the family's 1533-position model. The record is from RNAcentral.